AGUGAACGCUGGUGGUAGGCCUAACACAUGCAAGUCGAACGGCAGCACAGUAAGAGCUUGCUCUUACGGGUGGCGAGUGGCGGACGGGUGAGGAAUACAUCGGAAUCUACUUUUUCGUGGGGGAUAACGUAGGGAAACUUACGCUAAUACCGCAUACGACCUACGGGUGAAAGCAGGGGAUCUUCGGACCUUGCGCGAUUGAAUGAGCCGCUGUCGGAUUAGCUAGUUGGCGGGGUAAAGGCCCACCAAGGCGACGAUCCGUAGCUGGUCUGAGAGGAGGAUCAGCCACACGGGAACUGAGACACGGUCCAGAGUCCUACGGGAGGGAGCAGUGGGGAAUAUUGGACAAUGGGCGGAAGUCUGAUCCAGCCAUACCGCGUGGGUGAAGAAGGCGUUCGGGUUGUAAAGCCCUUUUGUUGGGAAAGAAAAGCAGCAGGUUAAUACCCCGCUGUUCUGACGGUACCCAAAGAAUAAGCACCGGCUAACUUCGUG
RNAcentral lists this ribosomal RNA (492 nucleotides) under uncultured bacterium. Its description in RNAcentral is "partial 16S ribosomal RNA". It matches the Rfam family "Bacterial small subunit ribosomal RNA", at positions 29 to 507 of the family's 1533-position model. The record is from RNAcentral.